RNAcentral lists this ribosomal RNA (481 nucleotides) under uncultured bacterium. RNAcentral's name for it is "partial 16S ribosomal RNA". It matches the Rfam family "Bacterial small subunit ribosomal RNA", at positions 28 to 507 of the family's 1533-position model. The record is from RNAcentral.
GAUGAACGCUGGCGGCGUGCCUAACACAUGCGAGUCGAACGGAGAUUCCGGACGGAAGUUUUCGGAUGGAAGACUGUAAUUCUUAGUGGCGGACGGGUGAGUAACGCGUGGGCAACCUGCCCUAUACAGGGGGAUAGCAGCUGGAAACGGCUGGUAAGACCGCAUAAGUCGGCGAGACCGCAUGGUUUUGCCGGGAAAUGAGCAAUCAGGUAUAGGAUGGGCCCGCGUCCGAUUAGCCAGUUGGCAGGGUAAAAGCCUACCAAAGCAACGAUCGGUAGCCGGACUGAGAGGUCGGACGGCCACAUUGGGACUGAGACACGGCCCAAACUCCUACGGGAGGCAGCAGUGGGGGAUAUUGCACAAUGGAGGAAACUCUGAUGCAGCGACGCCGCGUGAGUGAAGAAGUAUUUCGGUAUGUAAAGCUCUAUCAGCAGGGAAGAUGAUGACGGUACCUGACUAAGAAGCCCCGGCUAACUACGUG